Molecule: long non-coding RNA, 259 nt
Filed under: Panax ginseng (ginseng)
Lineage: Eukaryota; Viridiplantae; Streptophyta; Magnoliopsida; Apiales; Araliaceae
Description: long non-coding RNA (PGIN_LNC017594)
Source: RNAcentral
AAAACUGUACGUUUCAAAUACCCAGCAAUACCCAACUUUUUUUACUUCCUCAUUUUUUUCUCUCUCCUCCUUUCCCAUUCACUUCUUCCCUGUUUAUUUGGUUCCUAAGAAAAGUUUCUUUUGGAGUGAAAAAUUAGUGGCUUACUUCCAAACCCUUCCAGCAAUUUUGAGGUAUGUUUUUGUUUAUCUGGUUUUGUGUGGCUUACUUCCAAACCCUUCCAGCAAUUUUGAGGUAUGUUUUUUGUUUUUCUGGUUUUGU